CACCGCGGUUAUACGAAAGGCCCGAGUUGAUGGUCACCGGCGUAAAGAGUGAUUAUAGCAUGUUGGAAUAACUAAAGCCAAAGCCCUUCCCGGCUGUCAUACGCACCCGAAGGCAUGAGGCCCCUACACGAAAGUAGCUUUAACCACAAGACCCCUAGAACUCACGACAGCCAAGAUA
Molecule: ribosomal RNA, 178 nt
Filed under: Elops affinis (Pacific ladyfish)
Lineage: Eukaryota; Metazoa; Chordata; Actinopteri; Elopiformes; Elopidae
Description: partial small subunit ribosomal RNA
Source: RNAcentral